CCUANGGGGGGCUGCAGCAACGAAUAUUCCGCAAUGCGCGAAAGCGUGACGGAGCGACGCCGCGUGUAGGACGAAGCCCCUCGGGGUGUAAACUACUGUCAGGAUUGAGCAAACGAGAGGCUCGAAUAGAUCCUGUAGUUGAGCUAGUCCAGAGGAAGCCACGGCUAACUCUGUGCCAGCAGCCGCGGUAAGACAGAGGUGGCAAGCGUUGCUCGGAAUUACUGGGCUUAAAGGGUGUGUAGGCGGUCGGUUAAGCAUUCUGUGAAAGCCCUCGGCUCAACCGAGGAACAGCAGGAUGUACUGGCGGACUUGAGGCGCGUAGAGGUCACUGGAACUCUGGGUGGAGCGGUGAAAUGCGUAGAUAUCCAGGGGAACGCCAAUGGCGAAGGCAGGUGACUGGGCGCGUCCUGACGCUGAGGCACGAAAGCGUGGGGAGUGAACGGGAUUAGAUACCCUGNUANUC
This 463-nucleotide ribosomal RNA is filed under the name uncultured bacterium. Its description in RNAcentral is "bacterial SSU rRNA". It matches the Rfam family "Bacterial small subunit ribosomal RNA", at positions 338 to 795 of the family's 1533-position model. The record is from RNAcentral.